RNAcentral lists this ribosomal RNA (305 nucleotides) under uncultured bacterium. RNAcentral's name for it is "bacterial SSU rRNA". It matches the Rfam family "Bacterial small subunit ribosomal RNA", at positions 334 to 656 of the family's 1533-position model. The record is from RNAcentral.
UCUACCUACGGGGCGCAGCAGUAGGGAAUCUUCCACAGUGGGCGAAAGCCUGAUGGAGCAACGCCGCGUGGGUGAAGAAGUAUUUCGGUAUGUAAAGCUCUAUCAGCAGGGAAGAAAAUGACGGUACCUGAGUAAGAAGCCCCGGCUAACUACGUGCCAGCAGCCGCGGUAAUACGUAGGGGGCAAGCGUUAUCCGGAUUUACUGGGUGUAAAGGGAGCGUAGACGGCGAUACAAGUCUGAAGUGAAAGCCCGGGGCUCAACCCCGGGACUGCUUUGGAAACUGUGUUGCUGGAGUGCUGGAGAG